RNAcentral lists this ribosomal RNA (164 nucleotides) under Lilium papilliferum. Its description in RNAcentral is "5.8S ribosomal RNA". It matches the Rfam family "5.8S ribosomal RNA". From Rfam's summary of the family: 5.8S ribosomal RNA (5.8S rRNA) is a component of the large subunit of the eukaryotic ribosome. It is transcribed by RNA polymerase I as part of the 45S precursor that also contains 18S and 28S rRNA. The record is from RNAcentral. Lineage: Eukaryota; Viridiplantae; Streptophyta; Magnoliopsida; Liliales; Liliaceae.
UAUACGACUCUCGGCAACGGAUAUCUCGGCUCUCGCAUCGAUGAAGAACGUAGCGAAAUGCGAUACUUGGUGUGAAUUGCAGAAUCCCGUGAACCAACGAGUCUUUGAACGCAAGUUGCGCCCGAGGCCUUUCGGUUGAGGGCACGCCUGCCUGGGCGUCACGC